GUGCCAGCCGCCGCGGUAAUACGAAGGGGGCUAGCGUUGCUCGGAAUCACUGGGCGUAAAGCGCACGUAGGCGGGUUGCUAAGUCAGGGGUGAAAUCCUGGAGCUUAACUCCAGAACUGCCUUUGAUACUGGCAACCUUGAGUCCGGGAGAGGUGAGUGGAACUGCGAGUGUAGAGGUGAAAUUCGUAGAUAUUCGCAAGAACACCAGUGGCGAAGGCGGCUCACUGGCCCGGUACUGACGCUGAGGUGCGAAAGCGUGGGGAGCAAACAGGAUUAGAAACCCUUGUAGUCC
Molecule: ribosomal RNA, 292 nt
Filed under: uncultured bacterium
Lineage: Bacteria
Description: partial 16S ribosomal RNA
Rfam family: Bacterial small subunit ribosomal RNA
Source: RNAcentral